Molecule: ribosomal RNA, 252 nt
Filed under: uncultured bacterium
Lineage: Bacteria
Description: partial 16S ribosomal RNA
Rfam family: Bacterial small subunit ribosomal RNA
Source: RNAcentral
UACGUAAGGUGCGAGCGUUGUCCGGAAUCAUUGGGCGUAAAGGGUACGUAGGCGGAUAAGCAAGUUAGAAGUGAAAGCCUAUAGCUCAACUAUAGAAAGCGUUUAAAACUGUUUAACUUGAGAGAUGGAAGGGAAAGUGGAAUUCCUAGUGUAGCGGUGAAAUGCGCAGAUAUUAGGAGGAAUACCGGUGGCGAAGGCGACUUUCUGGCCAUAAACUGACGCUGAGGUCCGAAAGCGUGGGGAGCAAACAGG